This 589-nucleotide ribosomal RNA is filed under the name Alternaria porri. Its description in RNAcentral is "eukaryotic LSU rRNA". The stretch from base 207 to 360 matches the Rfam family "5.8S ribosomal RNA". Lineage: Eukaryota; Fungi; Ascomycota; Dothideomycetes; Pleosporales; Pleosporaceae. The record is from RNAcentral.
AUUCCCCUUCCUCCGUAGGUGAACCUGCGGAGGGAUCAUUACACAAAUAUGAAGGCGGGCUGGAACCUCUCGGGGUUACAGCCUUGCUGAAUUAUUCACCCUUGUCUUUUGCGUACUUCUUGUUUCCUUGGUGGGUUCGCCCACCACUAGGACAAACAUAAACCUUUUGUAAUUGCAAUCAGCGUCAGUAACAAAUUAAUAAUUACAACUUUCAACAACGGAUCUCUUGGUUCUGGCAUCGAUGAAGAACGCAGCGAAAUGCGAUAAGUAGUGUGAAUUGCAGAAUUCAGUGAAUCAUCGAAUCUUUGAACGCACAUUGCGCCCUUUGGUAUUCCAAAGGGCAUGCCUGUUCGAGCGUCAUUUGUACCCUCAAGCUUUGCUUGGUGUUGGGCGUCUUGUCUCUAGCUUUGCUGGAGACUCGCCUUAAAGUAAUUGGCAGCCGGCCUACUGGUUUCGGAGCGCAGCACAAGUCGCACUCUCUAUCAGCAAAGGUCUAGCAUCCAUUAAGCCUUUUUUUCAACUUUUGACCUCGGAUCAGGUAGGGAUACCCGCUGAACUUAAGCAUAUCAAAAGCCGGAGGAAAAAAGGC